RNAcentral lists this ribosomal RNA (208 nucleotides) under uncultured bacterium. RNAcentral describes it as "partial 16S ribosomal RNA". It matches the Rfam family "Bacterial small subunit ribosomal RNA", at positions 568 to 774 of the family's 1533-position model. The record is from RNAcentral.
CGCGUAGGCGGCCUGGGCAGUCCUGGGUGAAAGCCCCCGGCUCAACCGGGGAAGGGCCUGGGAAACCACUGGGCUGGAGUGCUGGAGAGGGAGGCGGAAUUCCUGGUGUAGCGGUGAAAUGCGUAGAGAUCAGGAGGAACAUCGGCGGCGAAGGCGGCCUUCUGGACAGACACUGACGCUGAGGCGCGAAAGCCGGGGGGAGCAAACA